UGGUAACAAUCCACGGCCUGAAAGAAGGAACGCUUUGGAAGAUGCUAGGUAUUCACCCACGAGCUCUGUCUUAUCAGGCUCCAUUUGCUUAACAGGGAAGUAUCCAAACAUUUAAGUAUGCAAAUGCGUACAGCCAAAUGAGACAUCAUUUAAUUCUUUUAUUGUCUUACAGUGAAAGAGAGCAAAUGAGCAAGUGGAUGGUUUCCUGCCAAUUACUUUCAGUUCGUUGUCUUUUAUGCUAAGAGACUCUGCAAACACUGCUCUGCAUCCAGCAGACGCCUGGUCACACUGAGGCAUCGAGCACGGACCCCUCCCUUCAGCAAACCCCAGUGCUCUGUAAGGAAACGAUCUGGGGACAUCCCUUCAAAUUCAGAGAGCUGCUGUUCUUGAGCUCCACAGAGACCAGAAAUCCCUUUCUGUAGAUGAAGUUGACUCUGUGCUGCCAGACCCUUCACUGCUCACCCCAUUCCAGUGGUACCAUUACCAUCACUUGUUUGGUGCUGUUUCUGCUGAAUUAUUUGGAGCCCACCUUCCUGCUUUAGCUUUGAAUUCUCACCAGAGAGAACCAUGCCAGGGCCGAUUUGGAUAACGGGAUCAUUAGCAACCAAACAGAUGAUGCCUCUCUCUCUCUCUCUAACAGAGACUCGCUCAGCUGCAGAGAGCCCUUCAAUUCCAGCAGAGAGGGCAGACUGUCAUCUGAGCUCGGCCCAUCCUGCUGUCUGCACUC
This 727-nucleotide long non-coding RNA is filed under the name Rattus norvegicus (Norway rat). RNAcentral describes it as "long non-coding RNA NONRATT028729". Lineage: Eukaryota; Metazoa; Chordata; Mammalia; Rodentia; Muridae. The record is from RNAcentral.